UCCGGUUUGAAACCGGCUUUUCCCGCAUAGUUCAGCCCAGGUAAGGUUCUUCGCGUUGCAUCGAAUUGAGCCACAUGCUCCGCCGCUUGUGCGGGCCCCCGUCAAUUCCUUUGAGUUUUAGCCUUGCGGCCGUACUCCCCAGGCGGGGCACUUAAUGCGUUAGCGACGGCACGGGAGGAGUCGACACCUCCCACACCUAGUGCCCAUCGUUUACGGCGUGGACUAC
Molecule: unclassified non-coding RNA, 226 nt
Filed under: uncultured Actinomycetes bacterium
Lineage: Bacteria; Bacillati; Actinomycetota; Actinomycetes
Description: uncultured actinobacterium contains 16S-23S intergenic spacer region
Source: RNAcentral